CCUACGGGAUGCUGCAGUGAGGAAUAUUGGUCAAUGGACGCAAGUCUGAACCAGCCAUGCCGCGUGAAGGCUGACGGCCCUAUGGGUUGUAAACUUCUUUUAUACGAGGGUAAACGGAGACACGCGUGCCUUUUUGUAUGUACUUUAUGAAUAAGGAUCGGCUACCUCCGUGCCAGCAGCCGCGGUAAUACGGAGGAUCCAAGCGUUAUCCGGAUUUAUUGGGUUUAAAGGGUGCGUAGGUGGUCGGAUAAGUUAGAGGUGAAAUUCCGCGGCUCAACAUCGGAAUUGCAUCUGAUACUGGUCGGCUAGAGUGUAGUUGCGGUAGGCGGAAUGUGUGGUGUAGCGGUGAAAUGCUUAGAGAUCAUACAGAACACCGAUUGCGAAGGCAGCUUACCAAGCUACUACUGACGUUGAUGCACGAAAGCGUGGGGAGCAAACAGGAUUAGAUACCCCUGUAGUC
This 460-nucleotide ribosomal RNA is filed under the name uncultured bacterium. Its description in RNAcentral is "partial 16S ribosomal RNA". It matches the Rfam family "Bacterial small subunit ribosomal RNA", at positions 338 to 795 of the family's 1533-position model. The record is from RNAcentral.